CCAACAUUCUACAUAAAGAUCAGUACAGACAAAGAAACGAGUAGAAUGACCGUAAAAGAAAUGCACGAUUUCAUGCAAAACAAUAAACCUGAUUACCUAAUUACCUAUUUCCUUUGAACUUUUUCCUUUUCAAGAGCCAAAAACAUAAAGAAACGAGUAGAAUGACGUGAUAUCUGUUUUUCACGUAAAAUCAAAUAAAUCGUGAAAGAAAUGCACGAUUCAUGCAAAACGAUAAACCUGAUUACCUAAUUACCUAUUUCCUUUGAACUUUUUCCUUUUCAAGAGCCAAAAACAUAAAGAAACGAGUAGAAUGACGUGAUAUCUUGUUUUUCACGUAAAAUCAAAUAAAUCGUGAAAGAAGUGCACAAUUUCAUGCAAAACGAUAAACCUGAUUACCUAAAUACCUAUUUCCUUUGAACUUUUUCCUUUUCAAGAGCCAAAAAUACAUGUCGGAUAAUAUUAGACCUCAUCAUCCUACUGACACAGAGUCUUGUGCACCAGCAAAGAUCACAAUUAUCAGCGGGCAACUUGAAAACCAAAUACCACAACUACUAUUGGUUUGAAUUAUUGCACUUAAUAUACUUAAAAACGUAAUUUAUGACUGUUUCAUUCAAUUAAAUCUACAUGCUCUUCCUUACAGCAAAACUUCCCAGCAAUGGGCAAUACAAUUUGAUACUCGAUGUUAAGCAUAAACCUGUCUCAAUCUCUGACCAAACCUAAAAUCUCAACACACACCUCAGCUUGGGAAAUCCAAAAAGAUCAAUAACAAGAUACUCACAAUUUAAACUCAUUAUAAUCAGAACACAUGACAGUCAAAAUACUUUUUUUUCCCACAAGCAAAACAUCCUAAAGUUAAAACAUAAACAGAAACAAAACCAUUUCAUAACUUAUCUAAACAAAGUAAAAAAAACAAAACAGGAACAUGCAUACUUGAUCAUACACGAUACAACCUUAACAAAAUCACAAAAAAUCGAAACACAAACAGAAAGAGAACUCAC
Molecule: long non-coding RNA, 998 nt
Filed under: Daucus carota (carrot)
Lineage: Eukaryota; Viridiplantae; Streptophyta; Magnoliopsida; Apiales; Apiaceae
Description: long non-coding RNA (DCAR_LNC000704)
Source: RNAcentral